RNAcentral lists this ribosomal RNA (2037 nucleotides) under Escherichia coli. Its description in RNAcentral is "partial 23S ribosomal RNA". It matches the Rfam family "Bacterial large subunit ribosomal RNA", at positions 911 to 2925 of the family's 2925-position model. Lineage: Bacteria; Pseudomonadati; Pseudomonadota; Gammaproteobacteria; Enterobacterales; Enterobacteriaceae. The record is from RNAcentral.
UGUUUCGGCAAGGGGGUCAUCCCGACUUACCAACCCGAUGCAAACUGCGAAUACCGGAGAAUGUUAUCACGGGAGACACACGGCGGGUGCUAACGUCCGUCGUGAAGAGGGAAACAACCCAGACCGCCAGCUAAGGUCCCAAAGUCAUGGUUAAGUGGGAAACGAUGUGGGAAGGCCCAGACAGCCAGGAUGUUGGCUUAGAAGCAGCCAUCAUUUAAAGAAAGCGUAAUAGCUCACUGGUCGAGUCGGCCUGCGCGGAAGAUGUAACGGGGCUAAACCAUGCACCGAAGCUGCGGCAGCGACGCUUAUGCGUUGUUGGGUAGGGGAGCGUUCUGUAAGCCUGCGAAGGUGUGCUGUGAGGCAUGCUGGAGGUAUCAGAAGUGCGAAUGCUGACAUAAGUAACGAUAAAGCGGGUGAAAAGCCCGCUCGCCGGAAGACCAAGGGUUCCUGUCCAACGUUAAUCGGGGCAGGGUGAGUCGACCCCUAAGGCGAGGCCGAAAGGCGUAGUCGAUGGGAAACAGGUUAAUAUUCCUGUACUUGGUGUUACUGCGAAGGGGGGACGGAGAAGGCUAUGUUGGCCGGGCGACGGUUGUCCCGGUUUAAGCGUGUAGGCUGGUUUUCCAGGCAAAUCCGGAAAAUCAAGGCUGAGGCGUGAUGACGAGGCACUACGGUGCUGAAGCAACAAAUGCCCUGCUUCCAGGAAAAGCCUCUAAGCAUCAGGUAACAUCAAAUCGUACCCCAAACCGACACAGGUGGUCAGGUAGAGAAUACCAAGGCGCUUGAGAGAACUCGGGUGAAGGAACUAGGCAAAAUGGUGCCGUAACUUCGGGAGAAGGCACGCUGAUAUGUAGGUGAAGUCCCUUGCGGAUGGAGCUGAAAUCAGUCGAAGAUACCAGCUGGCUGCAACUGUUUAUUAAAAACACAGCACUGUGCAAACACGAAAGUGGACGUAUACGGUGUGACGCCUGCCCGGUGCCGGAAGGUUAAUUGAUGGGGUCAGCGCAAGCGAAGCUCUUGAUCGAAGCCCCGGUAAACGGCGGCCGUAACUAUAACGGUCCUAAGGUAGCGAAAUUCCUUGUCGGGUAAGUUCCGACCUGCACGAAUGGCGUAAUGAUGGCCAGGCUGUCUCCACCCGAGACUCAGUGAAAUUGAACUCGCUGUGAAGAUGCAGUGUACCCGCGGCAAGACGGAAAGACCCCGUGAACCUUUACUAUAGCUUGACACUGAACAUUGAGCCUUGAUGUGUAGGAUAGGUGGGAGGCUUGGAAGUGUGGACGCCAGUCUGCAUGGAGCCGACCUUGAAAUACCACCCUUUAAUGUUUGAUGUUCUAACGUUGACCCGUAAUCCGGGUUGCGGACAGUGUCUGGUGGGUAGUUUGACUGGGGCGGUCUCCUCCUAAAGAGUAACGGAGGAGCACGAAGGUUGGCUAAUCCUGGUCGGACAUCAGGAGGUUAGUGCAAUGGCAUAAGCCAGCUUGACUGCGAGCGUGACGGCGCGAGCAGGUGCGAAAGCAGGUCAUAGUGAUCCGGUGGUUCUGAAUGGAAGGGCCAUCGCUCAACGGAUAAAAGGUACUCCGGGGAUAACAGGCUGAUACCGCCCAAGAGUUCAUAUCGACGGCGGUGUUUGGCACCUCGAUGUCGGCUCAUCACAUCCUGGGGCUGAAGUAGGUCCCAAGGGUAUGGCUGUUCGCCAUUUAAAGUGGUACGCGAGCUGGGUUUAGAACGUCGUGAGACAGUUCGGUCCCUAUCUGCCGUGGGCGCUGGAGAACUGAGGGGGGCUGCUCCUAGUACGAGAGGACCGGAGUGGACGCAUCACUGGUGUUCGGGUUGUCAUGCCAAUGGCACUGCCCGGUAGCUAAAUGCGGAAGAGAUAAGUGCUGAAAGCAUCUAAGCACGAAACUUGCCCCGAGAUGAGUUCUCCCUGACUCCUUGAGAGUCCUGAAGGAACGUUGAAGACGACGACGUUGAUAGGCCGGGUGUGUAAGCGCAGCGAUGCGUUGAGCUAACCGGUACUAAUGAACCGUGAGGCUUAACCUU